CUGGUCUUUCCUGCACCAGACUUGUCUUCCUGCACCAGACUUGUCCUCCUGCACCAGACUUGUCCUCCUGCACCAGACUUGUCCUCCUGCACCAGACUUGUCCUCCUGCACCUGCCAGAAUUCAUAUGCUUGUCCCAAAGAUUAAGCCAUGCAUGCCAAGAGUCAGGUGCCCGGGCUGGGGCAGCGCCUUCGGGCCCGCCUCGCCCGGGCUAAUGAAUCGGUGGACGGCUCCGUAUAUCUGUUGUAACAUAUCGCGGUAAACUAGCGUGGAUAUAGCACGGAAAAACUGUGUGUAAACCAGCAGAAGCCGGAUAUCGCGGGUACGGGAGGGUCAACCUCCCCCCCGCGGUUAGAGGGGCAGGCCGCCGAGGCCGUCUUCGGCCGCCCCUUCUUCCGAGUCCCUAAAGUACAACCCCCACACUACGCACGCGUGAGCCGACUCCCGUGCAGAUGGGGAGGAAACGGGGGCCUCUUCAGCCUGGAACGGCACACGACCGAAGAGACUAACCACGAGCGCGCGAUUGGCUUCAGACCUAUCAGCUAGAUGGUCGGGUAUUGGCCUACCAUGGCGAUGACGGGUACAGAGGAUUAGGGUUUGAUCCUGGAGAGGUAGCCUGAGAAAUCGCUCCCACUUCUAAGGAAGGCAGCAGGCGCGUAACGUUCCCAAUGCUGGCAACAGUGAGGACGUGACGGGACAUAAUAACACCCCUACAAUUGAUGAGUAGUGGGCUGUUCUUAAUGAUGUGGGCAUAACAC
RNAcentral lists this ribosomal RNA (756 nucleotides) under Lycogala sp. RNAcentral describes it as "partial small subunit ribosomal RNA". The stretch from base 103 to 756 matches the Rfam family "Eukaryotic small subunit ribosomal RNA", at positions 1 to 531 of the family's 1831-position model. The record is from RNAcentral. Lineage: Eukaryota; Evosea; Eumycetozoa; Liceales; Enteridiidae.